This is a non-coding RNA of Otolemur garnettii (small-eared galago), 290 nucleotides long. The record is from Rfam. NCBI's taxonomy places the organism in Eukaryota, Metazoa, Chordata, Mammalia, Primates, Galagidae.
GCCUGGCAUGGUGGUGUGCACCUGUCAUCCCAGCUAAUGGUAAGUCUGAGAUAGGGGACUUUCUUGAUCUUAGGAGUUUGGGGGUGUAGUACACUAUGCCAGUUGGUUGUCCACACUCAGUUCAUCAUCAAUAUGGUAACUUCCUGGAACUUGGGGCCACCAGGUUGCUUAAAAAGGGGAACUGACCAACAUCAAAGUGGAACAGGUCAAAGCCCCCAUGCUGAUCAGUAGUGAAGUUCCACCUGUGGAUAUAUAUUCCAGCCUGAGCAAUAUAGCAAGCCUUAUUUAUU